GGCCAGUGAUCCUGACUGAAGUGAUUGAGGAACAUCUGCAGUCUUUCUUCUGUGGUAUGAGCUAAGGAGCUUCAUCCCACUCAGACAUGAAAACGUUUUUCACAGCAGGAAGCAUCGCGAUUCAUUUACUGCAGCAGCGUCUCAGUCUCAGUCAUCCCGCGGAUGAGAAUAAUUGCAGAUGGGUGUUAUGUGCGCACGCACCAGCAGGCGGCUCACGUGAGUCAACACGUGUGUCAACAGAACCAGAAACUACACAGCGCUAAAUAAAUAGCGUUAUGUCAAAAUACUAAUUUAUUUGUUUUUAAAUUAAAUAAAAUUGUAAUCUUGAUAGUAUUCCCACUUUUUACAAAAUGUAAAAGUAAUCUGAAUACUUAGUUUUUUUGAUGUAACUGUAACGGAUUACAGUUACUAGAUUGUUGUAUCCUGAUUGCAUAACGCUAUUAGCCUACAUGUAUUCCGUUACUCCCCAACCCUGCAUAAUGCUAUGAAAGUGGUUACUUUUUACCUUACCUCCCUUAUAAAACUGCUCUUAUGAGACAUAAUCCUCCAAACCCCUUAAGCUGAAGUAUAUAUGACAACUAGCCUGAUGUUUUCCUCAAAGUAUUAAUUUUGAGUGUCAUUUCACUGUAGUUUUUUCUCUGACUCAGCCUCAAACAAGGCACUUCAUUUGUCAAUCAAACCAUCUAUAAAUAAUCUGUUUUGGACCGUCCCUAUGACUUUGAUGGCUCUUGAAUACCUCCCUGUCCAGUCCUCCACAGAGCACUAAUUUAAGUGUACUUAAUAAACAAAGGGUCAGAAUUAACAAAGCGGUCACUACGUCAGUGUGUUUCUGCAAUGACACAAUUAAACAACUGAGGCUAUGCAGCGUUCCCAUCCUAACUUCUGUAGCCGCAGCUGUUUUAGUACAUCAGCUCAUGAGAUUGCGUAGUGUCUGCCAUUUUGUUUUCCUCACGCUGAGGUGUGAGAGUACCAAGAGACUGAAUCACGGACGCAGACCCUGCAGGCCACUGAAUCACCCUCUGUUUAACACAUAGACGCGUUUCAGCAUCCAAGCUGUCUUCUGGACGCUUAAGUUUGUCUUCAGCUAUGGCAAACAAAUGUCAAGAGCAGCCAUGAGCAACACACACCCCCCUCGGGAGCAGCACUGUUGAUGUUUAAGAGUGGAAAGUACCCAUUUGAAACCACUGUCCAUUAAGUGUGUUGGGAACAGGUCCUCCUUUCUGUGUGGGUGGUCUGCAAAGCUUCACUGGAAAAAUUGCAGCAAAAGCAGCAUGUUGUAUCGGCCCGCGGCCAGAAGCCCAGAUGUGACAUUAAUUGUUAUUAAUCUGCUCAGUGAGCCAGUAGUCCGUUUUCACACUUAGUAAAUAUAGGGUACACUUUUAAGUUAAACAAUAAAACUUCAUAUUUAAGUUCAAUAUAGAGGAACAGGAAAUGUGAUGUUUUUGUAGUAAUUCCACCAGACAGUUACAUGACCUCUACUGGUUUCAUGAAAAGACAGGCUGUGUGCUGUGGAUCCGAAAUUCACUUUUUAUGCACAAGUCCCGUCAAAGGCGAGUGACCUGAGAAAAUUUAAACAGAAAUAAAUCUUAUCAGCCACGAAACUGAAUUUAGUGUUUAUUUAAAACUAAUUUGGUCUGAUUGACUCGUUUUAAAGCUACCUUGAAAAACAAUUGGCCAUAAGAGUCACAAAGGGUUUUUUUUUGUUACUUGAGAUG
Molecule: long non-coding RNA, 1715 nt
Organism: Cyprinus carpio carpio
Lineage: Eukaryota; Metazoa; Chordata; Actinopteri; Cypriniformes; Cyprinidae
Source: Ensembl